GUAUCUCGAACUGGGUCCUCCUGAACACCUCGCGCGCAAACUAACCACUCAGCCACCGUCCCCUCAUACUGCCUCUCUCAUGUCUACUAAUUCUUUCUCUUUGCAGUUGAAAAUAAGGAUGACAUUGCAAUCCAUGAGUUACCAGUAAAUUCACUAUAGUCAUUUCCAUUACAUAUACUUACCCAGACUUAAAUUUCUUGUACCCCUCAAAUGAUAACAUAAAAACACAUAUAUAAAACAGAAUACUUUAUUAUGUCCGGGAUUAUGCUGGCAGACACCUCAUUCUUAGUCUUCCUUUCACUUUUAGAAUCAUCGUAAAACUCAUUAUAAUGUUUUAACAAUAAUAUAACAUGUGCUUAGAGGUUACUGGAGGCUUGCUUGUUUUCAUAUUUCUGCACGCUUGUCUAUUUUUUUCAUUCUUUCAGUAUGAUCAACGUGUAUUAACUUUUAACAUUCAUACUAAAAACUUCUCAUUCAUGGUUUCUGUAUUUUUUUUUCUCUAUUUCUCUUCUCUUUCUCUUCUCAUAUUUCUUUCAUUUUCACCGUAUUCUCAUCUUUCUUUCAGUAUGACAAAGGCACUAAAUGAUCGGUCUCAUACUGACAUUUCUCUUCUCAUUUCCUUUAUUUCUUUUCUAUUUCUCUUCUCAUUUUCUUUCAUCGCAUUAAUUCAUGUCUUUCGUCCAGUAUGACAAACGCACUUACCAAUCAAUCUCAUACUAACAUAUUAACCUCUUGUACAAUUAUAAUUUCUUCACAUUUUCCUAGUUAUCUAAAUCUUUCAGUAUGAUCAAACACACUUAUGCUCUUCAUGCUAAGUUACUAUGACUAUUUUUGUACAUUUUCAUACUUAUUUCAUUUUCUCAGUAUGAUCAAACAUACUUAUUCUCCUCACACUAAGUCACUACAAUCAAGAAACAUGCAGUCAUUCUUAAAAUAUCAUAAACACACUUUUACCAGAAUUUUAAAACACAUGUACGAUUCUCAUUUCUGCACAUUUUCAUACUUGUUUCAUUUUCUCAGUAUGACCAAACACACUAAUUCUCUUCACACUAAGUUACUACAAUCAAGAAACAUUCAUUCAUUCUUUGCAUAUCAUAAACACACUUUUGUCAGAAUUUUUAAACACUUGUACAAUUCUCAUUUCUGCACAUUUUCAUACUUGUUUCAUUUUCUCAGUAUGACCAAACACACUAAUUCUCUUCACACUAAGUUACUACAAUCAAGAAACAUUCAUUCAUUCUUUGCAUAUCAUAAACACACUUUUGUCAGAAUUUUUAAACACUUGUACAAUUCUCAUUUCUGCACAUUUUCAUACUUGUUUCAUUUUCUCAGUAUGACCAAACACACUAAUUCUCUUCACACUAAGUUACUACAAUCAAGAAACAUUCAGUCAUUCUUAAAAUAUCAUAAACACACUUUUGUCAAAAAUUUCAAACAUGGUAUCAGUAUAUAUUUACUAAGUUAUGUGGUUGGUUGGAUUUUCUGUAAUUUCCUUUUUCUUUCAUAUUUCACUCAUAUUUAUGCAUACUUUCCAUUCCUUUAGUAUAACAAACACAUUAUUCUAAUAUUCAAAUCCUGUAUAUCACACUUAAUUUUUACAUACUUUCCUUCUUUUCACUCUCUCAGUAUGAUAAACACAUCAUUCUAACACUCAAAUCCUGUAUCACACUUAAUUUCUACACACUUUCCUUCUUUUCACUCUUUCAGUAUGAUAAACACAUAUUAAUUUUAUAUAAACAACAAAGUCCUCAUGUAUCAAUCAUGAUUCUACAUAUUUUUCUCAUUUUUUCAUCUUUUUAGUAUGAUAGAACACACUUAAUCAUUUCAUGCUAAUAAGGCACACUUCAAUAAUUCAUUCAGCAAUAAUAAAACAUCUAUUUCACACUAGUAUUUAAAAAGUCUGUCUCUCCUUCAUAUUUCUUCACACUUUCCCUUCUUUCAGUUUUUUAGUAAGUCGCAAACUUCUCAAUUCACACUCAUAUAACAAAGAUAUUAGGAGCAAACAUACUAGUAACAUUUCUCACUAACUUCACACUGAUAGUCUAAAGCAUUCCGUCAUUCUUAUUUCUGCAUUUUCCUUUAGUUUUCCCUCAUAUUUUAAUUUUUCUUCCAUUUUCUCAGUAUUUCAAAACACACAUUGUUAUUCACUGCACACUUCUUCCUCUCUUCUUCAUCUAACAUCAUUAUUUUCCUUUAUGGGUUGACCGGGGCGUGGUCCAUGUUUCUAAGGGUCUCAGGCUUCCAUUACAACUUAUUUUCCAAGGUCACAGUGAAGAUUAACUGGGUUUUCAUGGGUGACUUUUCCAUUCGAGAUUCAGAAGUCAUGUAAAACUAUCACCAGGGUCACAAAACAGUCCAUGAAAAGCCCAGCAACUUUUAUGAGAGUCCCCCAUUACGACUGUUUUGCAAGGCCACAGAGAAAAUCAACAGGGUUUUCAUGGGUAACUCUCCUGUUCAAGAUUCAGAAGUCGUGUAAAACUAUCACCAGGGUCACAAAACAGUCCAUGAAAAGCCCAGCAACUUUUAUGAGAGUCCCCCAUUACGACUGUUUUCCAAGGCCACAGAGAAGAUUAACCAGGUUUUCAUGGGUGACUUUUCCAUUCGAGAUUCAGAAGUCGUGUAAAACUAUCACCAGGGUCACAAAAGUUAACAGUCCAUGAAAAGCCCAGCAACUUUUAUGAGAGUCCCCCAUUACGACUGUUUUGCAAGGCCACAGAGAAAAUCAACAGGGUUUUCAUGGGUGACUUUUCCAUUCGAGAUUCAGAAGUCAUGUAAAACUAUCACCAGGGUCACAAAACAGCCCAUGAAAAGCCCAGCAACUUUUACGAGAGUCCCCCAUUACGACUGUUUUGCAAGGCCACAGAGAAAAUCAACAGGGUUUUCAUGGGUAACUCUCCUGUUCAAGAUUCAGAAGUCGUGUAAAACUAUCACCAGGGUCACAAAACAGUCCAAGAAAAUCCGAGCAUCUUCCACGAUAGGCUUUUCAAACUGGCGAACUGUCCCACUCACUCUUAACAAUCACAUACUCUCUCCUCGUUCUUGUUCGUCCCUCUCAUAUCUCGCUACACACGGACGCCAGGGCUUCCUCGGACAUCCAGCCGGUCACCUCACUUCAUACCUCCCGACAUGCUCGUAACACCUCAAUCUUUCCCUCGUCGCCACACUCAUGUCCAGCACAUUUCAUCACCUCAUACAAAACCCUGCCUCACAUAUCCCAGCAUACCCCAGUCACCUCAUACUGGCAGACACAUAGCCUUCACAUAAGCACCAGUCAGCAGGCUAUAUUUGUAACUGUAUUCUCUAUGCCUUAAAAAACUAUAUAUUUCUCCAUUAAAAUUCUUCUGUGAGAUUGAGGGAAAGGUCAUAAAAAUAUCUAUAAUCAUGUUGUAGGUUAUAGAGAUUGACUUAAAGGGUUACAUAUGAAGGGAAAGGAAGGGAAAGGGAUAGAUAAGGAGGGGAAAGGAAGGGAAAGGAAGGGAGAGGAAGGGAGAGGAAGGGAAAGGAAGGGAAAGGAAGGGAAAGGAAGGGAAAGGAAGGGAAAGGAAGGGAGAGGAAGGGAAAGGAAGAGAAAGGAAGGGAAAGGAAGGAAGAGGAAGGGAGAGGAAGGGAAAGGAAAGGAGAGGAAGAGAAAGGAAGGAAA
Molecule: long non-coding RNA, 3640 nt
Organism: Eriocheir sinensis (Chinese mitten crab)
Lineage: Eukaryota; Metazoa; Arthropoda; Malacostraca; Decapoda; Varunidae
Exons: 2
Source: RefSeq, a predicted model, not a curated record